GAUGAACGCUCGCUACAGGCUUAACACAUGCAAGUCGAGGGGAAACGACAUAGAAAGCUUGCUUUUGAUGGGCGUCGACCGGCGCACGGGUGAGUAACGCGUAACCAACCUGCCCACCACUUGGGGAUAACCUUGCGAAAGUAAGACUAAUACCCACUGAUAUCUCUAGAAGACAUCUGAACGAGAUUAAAGAUUUAUCGGUGAUGGAUGGGGAUGCGUCUGAUUAGCUUGUUGGCGGGGUAACGGCACACCAAGGCAACGAUCAGUAGGUGUUCUGAGAGGAAGGCCCCCCACAUUGGAACUGAGACACAGACCAAACUCCUACGGGAGGCAGCAGUGUGGAAGAUUAGGCAAUGGACGAGAGUCUGAACCAGCCAAGUAGCGGGCAGGAAGACGGCCCUAGGGGUUGUAAACUGCUUGUAUAAGGGAAUAAAGUGAGUAUCGUGAGACUUUUUGCAUGUACCUAAUGAAUAAGGACCGGCUAAUUCCGUG
RNAcentral lists this ribosomal RNA (492 nucleotides) under uncultured bacterium. RNAcentral's name for it is "partial 16S ribosomal RNA". It matches the Rfam family "Bacterial small subunit ribosomal RNA", at positions 28 to 507 of the family's 1533-position model. The record is from RNAcentral.